This is a non-coding RNA of Theobroma cacao (cacao), 553 nucleotides long. The record is from RefSeq and is a predicted model, not a curated record. NCBI's taxonomy places the organism in Eukaryota, Viridiplantae, Streptophyta, Magnoliopsida, Malvales, Malvaceae.
AAGGAAGAAAAGCUUGGUUUUGCAAUUCAAGCAAGCUAAGCUUGAUGAUUAAUGUUUUGAAGGAAUAUUGGAGUGCAAGUACGGGUCAAGCAAUCAUAAAGUGAGAUUUAUUGUUGUUGCAACGAGAAACUCUCAAGUAGGUAGCCUUAAUCCAUGCUCUGAAUUUCAUUGUAGCGAGAAUGGAUUCUCACUGCAGCAAGGAAUUUCGCUGCAGCAAUAAUGGAUUCUCGCUGCAGCAAGAAACUCUCAGAUUUGGAGGUAGUUGGGACCUAAAUUGAGUUGUCCAUGUAUGCCCAUCUUUUGGUAGGUACUAUGACAUCUCGUAAUUGUACCUUCACCUAGAGUCACUCCGCUGAUGGCCAAGAGUCUGUAGCCUUUGAACACGUAUAUGUAAUGCAAUUGGCUAGGAUCAAUAUUAGAAGUCAAAUAUGUAUACUUAAUUACUAAUGCCACUAUGAGUUGGUAAAUGAGUGACAUUAUUUUGGCAUAAUACAAAUGUGAGUAUUUGAUUGCCAUAGUAUGUCAUUGAAUAUUUGAUAGUUCAGAAUUAUGA